ACGCUGGCGGCAGGCCUAACACAUGCAAGUCGAGCGGAAACGACACCAACAAUCCUUCGGAUGCGUUAAUGGGCGUCGAGCGGCGGACGGGUGAGUAAUGCCUAGGAAAUUGCCUUGAUGUGGGGGAUAACCAUUGGAAACGAUGGCUAAUACCGCAUAAUGCCUACGGGCCAAAGAGGGGGAUCUUCGGGCCUCUCGCGUCAAGAUAUGCCUAGGUGGGAUUAGCUAGUUGGUGAGGUAAUGGCUCACCAAGGCGACGAUCCCUAGCUGGUCUGAGAGGAUGAUCAGCCACACUGGAACUGAGACACGGUCCAGACUCCUACGGGAGGCAGCAGUGGGGAAUAUUGCACAAUGGGCGAAAGCCUGAUGCAGCCAUGCCGCGUGUAUGAAGAAGGCCUUCGGGUUGUAAAGUACUUUCAGUUGUGAGGAAGGGGGUAACGUUAAUAGCGUUAUCUCUUGACGUUAGCAACAGAAGAAGCACCGGCUAACUCCGUGCCAGCAGCCGCGGUAAUACGGAGGGUGCGAGCGUUAAUCGGAAUUACUGGGCGUAAAGCGCAUGCAGGUGGUUCAUUAAGUCAGAUGUGAAAGCCCGGGGCUCAACCUCGGAACUGCAUUUGAAACUGGUGAACUAGAGUGCUGUAGAGGGGGGUAGAAUUUCAGGUGUAGCGGUGAAAUGCGUAGAGAUCUGAAGGAAUACCAGUGGCGAAGGCGGCCCCCUGGACA
This 723-nucleotide ribosomal RNA is filed under the name Vibrio sp. 12E11. RNAcentral describes it as "bacterial SSU rRNA". It matches the Rfam family "Bacterial small subunit ribosomal RNA", at positions 33 to 735 of the family's 1533-position model. The record is from RNAcentral. Lineage: Bacteria; Pseudomonadati; Pseudomonadota; Gammaproteobacteria; Vibrionales; Vibrionaceae.